This 582-nucleotide ribosomal RNA is filed under the name Triticum aestivum (bread wheat). Its description in RNAcentral is "partial small subunit ribosomal RNA". The record is from RNAcentral. Lineage: Eukaryota; Viridiplantae; Streptophyta; Magnoliopsida; Poales; Poaceae.
AUGGAUCAAGUAAGGCGAGAGAUAUCUGUAAUGAAGUUGGUAAAACAUCCAAACAUUGUCCAACUGUAUGAGGUGAUGGCCACCAAAACCAAGAUAUUUUUUGUGCUAGAGUAUGUGAAGGGGGGCGAGCUGUUCAACAAGGUUCAACGAGGAAGGCUGAAAGAAGAUGUUGCUCGCAAGUACUUCCAACAGCUCAAUAGUGCGGUUGACUUCUGCCACAGCCGAGGCGUCUAUCACCGCGAUUUGAAGCCUGAAAAUCUUCUUCUUGAUGAGAACCGAAAUUUAAAGAUCUCUGACUUUGGUUUGAGUGCACUUGCAGAAUGCAAGAGGCAAGAUGUGCUGCUUCACACAACUUGUGGUACCCCUGCAUAUGUUGCUCCGGAACUGAUUAGUAAAAAAGGAUAUGAUGGUGCAAAAGCUGACAUCUGGGCUUGUGGAGUCAUCUUGUAUGUACUGUUGGCUGGUUAUCUCCCUUUUCAGGACAAAUUUGAUGGACAUGUAUUAGAAGAUUUACAAAGCAGAACUCAAAUGGCCAAGCUGGUUUUCUUCAGAUGCCCGGAGGCUUCUGAGACGUAUUCUUGA